CACGUAGGGCGCGAGCGUUGUCCGGAAUUAUUGGGCGUAAAGAGCUCGUAGGCGGCCUGUUGCGUCCGCUGUGAAAGCCCGGGGCUUAACCCCGGGUCGCAGUGGAUACGGGCAGGCUAGAGGUAGGUAGGGGAGAAUGGAAUUCCCGGUGUAGCGGUGAAAUGCGCAGAUAGUCGGGAGGAACACCGGUGGCGAAGGCGGGUCUCUGGGACGGUACUGACGCUGAGACGCGAAAGCGUGGGGAGCGAACAGG
This 253-nucleotide ribosomal RNA is filed under the name uncultured bacterium. RNAcentral describes it as "partial 16S ribosomal RNA". It matches the Rfam family "Bacterial small subunit ribosomal RNA", at positions 524 to 776 of the family's 1533-position model. The record is from RNAcentral.